UUUCGAAUCAUUCACAAUGGGGGAAACCCUGAUGGUACAACGCCGCGUGAGGGAUGAAGGUCUUCGGAUCGUAAACCUCUGUCGUAGGGGAUUAAAGGUGUGACAACACACCCUGAACUAACCCUAAGAGGAAGUAGUGGCAAACUCUGUGCCAGCAGCCGCGGUAAUACAGAGACUACAAGCGUUACUCGGAAUCACUGGGCGUAAAGCGUGCGUAGGCGGGCGAGAGAGUCACGCGUAAAAGGCUGGGGCUUAACCCCAGUUACAUGCGUGAGACCCCUCGACUUGAGCUAUAUAUAGAGGUAAGCGGAAUUCCUGAAGUAGCAGUGAAAUGCAUAGAUAUCAGGAGGAACACCAGAGGCGAAGGCGGCUUACUGGGUAAUAGCUGACGCUGAGGCACGAAAGCGUGGGGAGCAAAAG
Molecule: ribosomal RNA, 420 nt
Filed under: uncultured prokaryote
Description: bacterial SSU rRNA
Rfam family: Bacterial small subunit ribosomal RNA
Source: RNAcentral